This 1355-nucleotide ribosomal RNA is filed under the name human gut metagenome. RNAcentral describes it as "bacterial LSU rRNA". It matches the Rfam family "Bacterial large subunit ribosomal RNA", at positions 1086 to 2524 of the family's 2925-position model. The record is from RNAcentral.
CAGACAACCAGGAUGUUGGCUUAGAAGCAGCCACUCAUUAAAAGAGUGCGUAAUAGCUCACUGGUCGAGUGACUCUGCGCCGAAAAUUCAACGGGGCUAAAAUUCAUACCGAAGCUUGGGCUUGACAGAAAUGUCAGGGGUAGGGGAGCGUCGUAUACGAGGUGAAGUCAUAGCGGAAGCGGUGGUGGAUUGUAUACGAGUGAGAAUGCCGGAAUGAGUAGCGAGAAUUAUGUGAGAAUCAUAAUGGCCGAAAGUCUAAGGUUUCCUGAGGAAGGUUCGUCCUCUCAGGGUUAGCCGGGAGCUAAGGUGAGGCGGAAACGCGUAGCCGAUGCACAUACGGUAGAAAUUCCGUAGCCUCCGAAGAUUUAAGCACAGGGACACUUUUGAAGGGCUGAGCCGGGCGUUGGUUGCCCCGGUCGAAAGGGACACGAUUGAGUGGAAGUCAGUUUGGAAAGAGGCGAGAAAAGCUGUGUGUAUAUGGAAGGAGCCCGUACCGCAAACCGACACAGGUAGACAGGAAGAAGAUUCUAAGGCCAGCGGGAGAAGGGUUGUUAAGGAACUCGGCAAGUUGACCCCGUAACUUCGGGAGAAGGGGUGCUUACGAAGGUAAGCCGCAGAGAAUAGGCCCAAGCGACUGUUUAGCAAAAACACAGCUCUAUGCUAAAUCGAAAGAUGACGUAUAUGGGGUGACACCUGCCCGGUGCUGGAAGGUUAAGAGGAGAUGUGAGAGCAUUGAAUUGAAGCCCCAGUAAACGGCGGCCGUAACUAUAACGGUCCUAAGGUAGCGAAAUUCCUUGUCAGGUAAGUUCUGACCCGCACGAAUGGUGUAACGAUUUGGGCACUGUCUCAACAACCCACCCGGCGAAAUUGUAGUACCGGUGAAGAUGCCGGUUACCUGCGACUAGACGGAAAGACCCCAUGGAGCUUCACUGCAGCUUAAUAUUGGAUUUCGGUAUUUCAUGUACAGGAUAGGUGGGAGACUGGGAAAUACAGGCGUCAGCUUGUAUGGAGUCAUUGUUGGGAUACCACUCUUGAGGUGCUGGAAUUCUAACCUGUGGCCUUGAAUCAGGUCAGGGGACAUUGUUAGGCGGGCAGUUUGACUGGGGCGGUCGCCUCCUAAAAGGUAACGGAGGCGCUCAAAGGUUCGCUCAGCAUGGACGGAAACCAUGCCAAAGAGUGUAAACGCAUAAGCGAGCCUAACUGCGAGACUGACGGGUCGAGCAGUAACGAAAGUUGGAGUUAGUGAUCCGGCGGUAUAUGUGAGUGGAAAUGCCGUCGCUCAACGGAUAAAAGCUACCCUGGGGAUAACAGGCUGAUCUCCCCCAAGAGUCCACAUCGACGGGGAGGUUUGGCAC